AGAGUUUGAUCCUGGCUCAGGAUGAACGCUAGCGGGAGGCUUAACACAUGCAAGUCGAGGGACAGCAUAAUGUAGCAAUACGUUGAUGGCGACCGGCGCACGGGUGAGUAACGCGUAUGUAACCUACCCUGUACAGGGGGAUAACCCGGAGAAAUUCGGACUAAUACCCCAUAAUUAUAUUUUAAGGCAUCUUAGAAUUUUAAAGUUUCGACGGUACGGGAUGGGCAUGCGUGACAUUAGCUAGUUGGUAAGGUAACGGCUUACCAAGGCUUCGAUGUCUAGGGGUCCUGAGAGGGUGAUCCCCCACACUGGUACUGAGACACGGACCAGACUCCUACGGGAGGCAGCAGUGAGGAAUAUUGGUCAAUGGGCGUAAGCCUGAACCAGCCAUCCCGCGUGAAGGAAGAAGGCGCUAUGCGUCGUAAACAUCUUUUCCAGAGGAAUAAAAUUUCGUACCGUACGGAACUGAAGGUACUUUGGGAAUAAGCAUCGGCUAACUCCGUGCCAACAGCCGCGGUAAUACGGAGGAUGCGAGCGUUAUCCGGAUUUAUUGGGUUUAAAGGGUGCGUAGGCGGAUUAAUAAGUCAGUGAUGAAAACCUUCAGCUUAACUGGAGAACUACCAUUGAUACUGUUAGUCUUGAGUACGGUCAAGGUAGGCGGAAUGUGUAAUGUAGCGGUGAAAUGCUUAGAUAUUACACAGAACACCGAUUGCGAGGCAGCUUACUGGGCCAUUACUGACGCUGAGGCACGAAAGCGUGGGGAGCGAACAGGAUUAGAUACCCUGGUAGUCCACGCCGUAAACGAUGAUCACUCGCUGUUGGCGAUACACAGUCAGCGGCUAAGCAAAAGCAUUAAGUGAUCCACCUAGAGAGUACGACCGCAAAGCUAAAACUCAAAGGAAUUGACGGGGGCCCGCACAAGCGGAGGAACAUGUGGUUUAAUUCGAUGAUACGCGAGGAACCUUACCUGGGUUAAAUGUAGAGUGCAUGAGGUAGAAAUACUUCUUUCCUUCGGGACUCUUUACAAGGUGCUGCAUGGUUGUCGUCAGCUCGUGCCGUGAGGUGUCGGGUUAAGUCCCAUAACGAGCGCAACCCUUAUCGUUAGUUGCCAGCGGGUAAUGCCGGGAACUCUAACGAAACUGCCGGUGUAAACCGUGAGGAAGGUGGGGAUGACGUCAAAUCAGCACGGCCCUUAUGUCCAGGGCUACACACGUGUUACAAUGGCCGGUAAGAGGGCAGCUACCUGGAGACAGAAUGCGAAUCUCGAAAGCCGGUCUCAGUUCGGAUCGGAGUCUGCAACUCGACUCCGUGAAGCUGGAUUCGCUAGUAAUCGCGCAUCAGCCAUGGCGCGGUGAAUACGUUCCCGGGCCUUGUACACACCGCCCGUCAAGCCAUGGAAGUUGGGGGUACCUGAAGUCCGUAACCGUAAGGAGCGGCCUAGGGUAAAACUAGUGACUGAGGCUAAGUCGUAACAAGGUAACC
RNAcentral lists this ribosomal RNA (1482 nucleotides) under uncultured bacterium. RNAcentral's name for it is "bacterial SSU rRNA". It matches the Rfam family "Bacterial small subunit ribosomal RNA". The record is from RNAcentral.